This 75-nucleotide transfer RNA is filed under the name Desulfarculaceae bacterium. Its description in RNAcentral is "tRNA-Gln". It matches the Rfam family "tRNA". From Rfam's summary of the family: Transfer RNA (tRNA) molecules are approximately 80 nucleotides in length. Their secondary structure includes four short double-helical elements and three loops (D, anti-codon, and T loops). Further hydrogen bonds mediate the characteristic L-shaped molecular structure. tRNAs have two regions of fundamental functional importance: the anti-codon, which is responsible for specific mRNA codon recognition, and the 3' end, to which the tRNAs corresponding amino acid is attached (by aminoacyl-tRNA synthetases). tRNAs cope with the degeneracy of the genetic code in two manners: having more than one tRNA (with a specific anti-codon) for a particular amino acid; and 'wobble' base-pairing, i.e. permitting non-standard base-pairing at the 3rd anti-codon position. Lineage: Bacteria; Pseudomonadati; Thermodesulfobacteriota; Desulfarculia; Desulfarculales; Desulfarculaceae. RNAcentral also lists the same sequence under 2 other names. The record is from RNAcentral.
AGGGGCGUCGUCAAGUGGUAAGACACAGGUUUUUGGUGCCUGCAUUCGUAGGUUCGAGUCCUACCGCCCCUGCCA